RNAcentral lists this ribosomal RNA (500 nucleotides) under uncultured bacterium. Its description in RNAcentral is "partial 16S ribosomal RNA". It matches the Rfam family "Bacterial small subunit ribosomal RNA", at positions 30 to 523 of the family's 1533-position model. The record is from RNAcentral.
AUUGAACGCUGGCGGAAUGCUUUACACAUGCAAGUCGAACGGCAGCACGGACUUCGGUCUGGUGGCGAGUGGCGAACGGGGGAGUAAUGUAUCGGAACGUGCCCAGUCGUGGGGGAUAACGUAGUGAAAAUUACGCUAAUACCGCAUACGAUCUAUGGAUGAAAGCGGGGGAUCGCAAGACCUCGCGCGAUUGGAGCGGCCGAAAUCAGAGUAGGUAGUUGGGGGGGUAACGGCCCACCAAGCCAACGAUCUGUAGCUGGUCUGAGCUGACGACCAGCCACACUGGAACUGAGACACGGUCCAGACUACUACGGGAGGCAGCAGUGGGGAAUUUUGGACAAUGGGCGAAAGCCUGAUCCAGCCAUUCCGCGUGCAGGAUGAAGGCCCUCGGGUUGUAAACUGCUUUUGUACAGAACGAAAAGGUUUCUACUAAUACUAGGAGCUCAUGACGGUACUGUAAGAAUAAGCACCGGCUAACUACGUGCCAGCCGCCGCCGUAA